This is a long non-coding RNA of Nicotiana tabacum (common tobacco), 734 nucleotides long. RefSeq lists it as uncharacterized. Lineage: Eukaryota; Viridiplantae; Streptophyta; Magnoliopsida; Solanales; Solanaceae. The record is from RefSeq and is a predicted model, not a curated record.
AGUACCAUUUAGGAAUAAGCCAAAAAAGAAAUUAAAACCUAGAAUUCAAUCUUUUCACAAUCUUAGGUCCCAGACGCAAAUACCUCCAUCUCUUUCUGCAUAUUCUUCCAACCUCCCAUCGAGCAUGACCACUCAUCUUCCCCAUUUUAUUUAGAUUUAAUACUCAAAAUUAUGCUUAUAUAAUCCAUCUGAUUGAGAAUAUUCAUUUUAUUUCUCUUUUGAUAUAUGAUGCAUUUGUUUUAGUUUAUCCCAGCAGAGGGGACAAGAAGAUUGUCAAAGGCAAACACUUCAAUCACUCCUUUAGGAAUUCUAAAUUUUUAAAGCUUCUGAGAAACAACGAACGAUGCAUUUAAGGCAGUAUUUGAAAAGGAACAGCUUGAUCGAGUUAGAUGCUAUGAUAGAUGGGUGACGACAAACUCUCUGAAAAAAGAUGAGUAAAUCAACAAGCUUAAACAAAAUCAUGCCAGUGAAAUUAUUUCUAUGAAGGAAUAAAUGAAAGAAAUGAAGAGAGAAUAAAUGCGAUUUUUUUAGUCAAUUGAUACAAAACAAUUCUGGAUUUAAUAUUCAAGAUAUACCAGGGUGUGCCGGAUCUAACCUUCAUUCACCUGUUGAUGCAAGUAGUGCACGUACGGAAUGUGAGAGCACUAAAUCUUCCCCAUUCUUUUGGCUCAACUGAUGCACUGGGUCUUGAAAAGAUUCCGGAGCAGCUUUUGGACAGUAGCAUUUAGGGUGGC